GGGGUUUCCUUCUCAGAUCCCUUUUUGUUAUGCAAACUUUUUGUUCAGCAGUGUUAUCUCUUGCAGGUGUUUGUUAGAAUCAUUGUUUGUGAGAAGAAACCUGGGUGUGCUCAUUUCUUGCUGAGGUUCCCUUCUCUGCAAAGACCUGCCUGACUCACUGCUUGACUUGGAAACACCCCCAGGUAUUUUAUCUCUCUAUUUUACCUCCUGGUCCUGCUCUGAACGCUGAAAGGAUGCUGCUGCUUCUGCAUGGUGGGAUCCAGUCCCCACCAGUGCCCCCAUCUGCCCGAACUCCAUUGGAGUGGGAACGAUGGAGUCUGGGUGCAAGGGGGUUCUCAGCCACCAGAGUUUGUUGAGUUACCCAGGCAAAGGCUGAUCAUGCCCAGGAGAUGAUUUUAUAGCUCGUACACAUUUACUGUCCAGAUAUUUCCAUUUUUCCUUAGCCUUUUUCACAUAUAACACGCACGUGGGUGAUGAAGAGAGUGCACUUAUGGAAUGUUCUGUUUCAUUCCAGGGAUGGCUCAGCUCAGAAAUGAUCACAGACAGACACUCUUCACUUCCACCCAAUUCCACGCUGCUUGCAAAUGGAACAGGGGAAAAACUCUGCAGCCUGUGGGCUCUGACAGAUCAGAUACCCCAGUGGGUUUGGGUGCUGCCCCAGGGACUGCAACACCUCGCACCUCUGAGCCCCUGCUGUGAUGAAAAGCUGCAGAGAAAACUCCCCAGCAAAGGUCUUCAUAAUACUUAACAUUCAAUGGAGCAAAAGGAGAAUAAUGAGCACUGCAGCCAUCCCAGGUUAGUAAUUACCGCCGUCAUUAUUAAUUUUCCAGAGCAAUCUCGUCAAAUGAGUC
This 851-nucleotide long non-coding RNA is filed under the name Ficedula albicollis (Collared flycatcher). Its description in RNAcentral is "lncRNA (ENSFALG00000024214.1)". Lineage: Eukaryota; Metazoa; Chordata; Aves; Passeriformes; Muscicapidae. The record is from RNAcentral.